RNAcentral lists this non-coding RNA (248 nucleotides) under Hanseniaspora osmophila. RNAcentral's name for it is "Eukaryotic small subunit ribosomal RNA". It matches the Rfam family "Eukaryotic small subunit ribosomal RNA", at positions 1227 to 1504 of the family's 1831-position model. Lineage: Eukaryota; Fungi; Ascomycota; Saccharomycetes; Saccharomycodales; Saccharomycodaceae. The record is from Rfam by way of RNAcentral.
CACCAGGUCCAGACACAAUAAGGAUUGACAGAUUGAGAGCUCUUKCUUGAUUGUGUGGGUGGUGGUGCAUGGCCGUUCUUAGUUGGUGGAGUGAUUUGUCKGCUUAAUUGCGAUAACGAACGAGACCUUAACCUUUAAAUAGUUCUACGCGGCUUUUUGCUCGUUUGAACUUCUUAGAGGGACUAUCGAUUUCAAGUCGAUGGAAGUUUGAGGCAAUAACAGGUCUGUGAUGCCCUUAGACGUUCUGG